Molecule: ribosomal RNA, 253 nt
Filed under: uncultured bacterium
Lineage: Bacteria
Description: partial 16S ribosomal RNA
Rfam family: Bacterial small subunit ribosomal RNA
Source: RNAcentral
UACGGAGGUUGCAAGCGUUGUUCGGAUUUACUGGGCGUAAAGGGAGCGCAGGCGGCCAAGUCAGUCCAAAGUGAAAUCCCGGGGCUCAACCUCGGGCGUGCUUUGGAUACUGCUUGGCUUGAGUACGUGAGAGGUAAGCGGAAUUCCAGGUGUAGCGGUGAAAUGCGUAGAUAUCUGGAGGAACACCGGUGGCGAAAGCGGCUUACUGGCACGAGACUGACGCUGAGGCUCGAAAGCGUGGGGAGCGAACGGG